UGGGGAAUAUUGCACAAUGGACGGAAGUCUGAUGCAGCAACGCCGCGUGCGGGAUGACGGCCUUCGGGUUGUAAACCGCUUUUUCUCAUGACGAAGUUUUUUGACGGUAGUGGGGGAAGAAGCACCGGCUAACUACGUGUCAGCAGCCGCGGUGAUACGUAGGGUGCGAGCGUUGUCCGGAAUUAUUGGGCGUAAAGAGCUUGUAGGCGGUUUGUCGCGUCGAUAGUGCAAACUCAGUGCUUAACGCUGAGCCUGCUGUUGAUACGGGCAGACUAGAGGAAGGUAGGGGAGAAUGGAAUUCCCGGUGGAGCGGUGGAAUGCGCAGAUAUCGGGAGGAACACCGGUGGCGAAGGCGGUUCUCUGGGCCUUUCCUGACGCUGAGAAGCGAAAGCGUGGGGAGCGAACAGG
RNAcentral lists this ribosomal RNA (408 nucleotides) under Fusobacteriota bacterium. RNAcentral describes it as "Fusobacteria bacterium partial 16S ribosomal RNA". It matches the Rfam family "Bacterial small subunit ribosomal RNA", at positions 355 to 776 of the family's 1533-position model. Lineage: Bacteria; Fusobacteriati; Fusobacteriota. The record is from RNAcentral.